This 24-nucleotide non-coding RNA is filed under the name Arabidopsis thaliana (thale cress). The record is from RNAcentral. Lineage: Eukaryota; Viridiplantae; Streptophyta; Magnoliopsida; Brassicales; Brassicaceae.
GGGCUUGACCGUAUGGACAAUGGG